Molecule: ribosomal RNA, 257 nt
Filed under: uncultured bacterium
Lineage: Bacteria
Description: partial 16S ribosomal RNA
Source: RNAcentral
CUGCUGCCUCCCGUAGGAGUCUGGGCCGUGUCUCAGUCCCAAUGUGGCCGUUCAACCUCUCAGUCCGGCUACUGAUCGUCGACUUGGUGGGCCGUUACCUCACCAACUAUCUAAUCAGACGCGAGCCCAUCUUUCAGCGGAUUUCUCCUUUGAUAACAGAAUCAUGCGGUUCCGUUAUUUUAUGCGGUAUUAGCAGUCGUUUCCAACUGUUGUCCCCCUCUGAAGGGCAGGUUGCUCACGUGUUACUCACCCGUCCG